AUGGAGGGGGCCGAUCGCCUGUACCCCUCGGUCGAGCCGUACGACCUCGAGCCCCCGCAGCUCGACGACGCCGCCGCCGCCGCCGUCGGCACUGGCGAGGCUAGGGUUUGCGACCCGCCGGUGAGGUGGGACGAGGAGCCCAAGGAGGGAACCCAUGUAUGCGAGCAAGGGGCGAAAGAUAAUCCUGACAGAGAUGACAUGGAAGACCACCUUAGUGUUGUCAAUAUUUAUGAGAGCGAUGACGAAAUGGCCACCUUCAAGGGAUCAGGAGAAAACAUCCAUUCUGAUUGCCCACUUCGUCAACAAACUGGCAUCUGGGUACCUCCUUCUGUUCCACCGAUGACAAAACAUGAUCAUGAGGAGUGGCAAAAGGGCUUUGUCUCAAAUGCUGGGUACUUCAUAGAAGACGAAUACAAGUGGGAUGUGGAUGAAGACAUCAGGGAGAUGACAAUGUGGGAUGUGUUUGCUGAGAUGGCUGUUGCAGGAAAAGAUAAAUUAUUAUCUGUUGCAUCAUAUGAUUUUGGGAGGCAUAGCAUGUCUCUAGUUUCACACUUCCUUCUUCAAGCGGCUUUGGAGGAUAACUCUCAAACACUUGCAGAGGCCAGUGUUGGUUCUGAACAUGCCCUGCUUGAGACAGAACCGACAAAGUGGUUGCCUGAUAGUGCUGCUCCUUCUUGCAUGCUUUGUGGAGUGCGCUUCCAUCCAGUAAUUUGCUCUCGCCAUCAUUGUCGUUUUUGUGGUGGGAUAUUCUGUGGCGGCUGUUCAAAGGGUAGAAGCUUGAUGCCUCCAAAAUUCGGAACUUCAGAUCCUCAAAGGGUCUGUGAUGUUUGUGGAGUACGUCUUGAGUGUAUUCAGCCUUACUUGAUGAACCAGAUAAGUCGUGCUUGUCAACUUCCGACUAAAGAUUUGACAGACCUGAGCACCUUGAGGUCAUGGUUAAACCUCCCAUGGGCACCAACGAUGGAGUAUGAGAUAUACAAGGCUGCAAAUUCCAUACAUGGGUAUUGUAAGGUUGGAAAGCUGAAUCCAGAGAAGUCCAUUCCUGAUUCAAUUCUUAGACAAGCAAAGGGACUUGCUAUAAUUACUGUGGUAAAGGUUGGAAUGAUGGUCACGUACAAAAUUGGUACUGGGCUGGUUAUUGCUCGCAGAGCUGAUGGUUCUUGGUCUCCUCCUUCGGCCAUAUCUACUUGUGGUGUUGGAUAUGGAGCUCAGGCUGGCGCUGAGUUAGCUGACUUCAUCAUUGUUCUGAGGAACACUGAUGCAAUUAAAACAUUCAGUGGAAAUGCACAUCUGUCACUUGGGGCUGGUUUCGGUGCUGCUGCUGGUCAUCUUGGACGGGUGGCAGAGGCUGAUUUCCGUGCCGGUGAUGGUGGUUAUGCUGCCUGUUACACAUACAGUUGUAGCAAAGGCGCCUUUGUGGGAUGCGCACUCAAUGGAAGUGUAGUAUCAACCCGAAACAACGAAAAUGCCCGAUUCUAUGGCGGUCCAGUCAAGGCAUCAGAAAUCCUUCUUGGUUCACUGCCCAAGCCACCUGCGGCCGCCACUCUCUAUAAAGCUCUAUCCACACUAUUUGAUAAGAUCGGAAAGUAA
This 1590-nucleotide ribosomal RNA is filed under the name Triticum aestivum (bread wheat). RNAcentral's name for it is "partial small subunit ribosomal RNA". Lineage: Eukaryota; Viridiplantae; Streptophyta; Magnoliopsida; Poales; Poaceae. The record is from RNAcentral.